GUGCCAGCCGCCGCGGUAAUACCGGCAGCCCGAGUGAUGGCCGCUGUUAUUGGGCCUAAAGCGUCCGUAGCUGGCCGCACAAGUCCGUCGGGAAAUCCGCCCGCUCAACGGGCGGCCGUCCGGCGGAACCUGUGUGGCUUGGGACCGGGAGGCCUGAGGGGUACGAUCGGGGUAGGAGUGAAAUCCUGUAAUCCCGCUCGGACCGCCGAUGGGGAAACCACCUCAGGAGAACGGAUCCGACGGUCAGGGACGAAAGCUUGGGUCUCGAACCGGAUUAGAUACCCGGGUAGUCC
Molecule: ribosomal RNA, 293 nt
Filed under: uncultured bacterium
Lineage: Bacteria
Description: partial 16S ribosomal RNA
Rfam family: Archaeal small subunit ribosomal RNA
Source: RNAcentral